GUUGCGUUUUGCCAAAAGGAGGAGAAAAAAAAAAUUCAUUUUGGAGAUUGAACUCUCCUCUCACGCGAUCUGAAACCUAGCCUCCGCCGAUCGCGUGAGAAGAGAGUGCAUAUAGCCUAGCUAUUUUGAGUUCUUCUGGAAGGAGUUAAAUCAAACCAGCAAAGAUCAGAGCGUGUUCUGGGUUGAAAAAGAAGCUAUGUUGAUGAAUCAAGAGAAAAUCCAGAGGCUUCAAGGAGAGAAUCGGUAACGUGUUUAUUGUUGCUCGGUGAGAAUGGCGUCAUGAAUCUCGACACAACAGGUCUUGUUGUUCUCGUGUCUGGAACCACUUAUAGACAUUGCAGAACAUCAAGCUUGUGCUUAACGAUGAUGGACUGAACUUCAAGCUUCUCCAUCCUCCACGGAAACUACUCUUGGAUGAAAAGAUGAGAAAAAGACAAGUUGUUGGUGCCGAGAAGUUGAUACAGCUCUUGCAUCCGUCAGAAGACAGAAUGGGAAACUCCAUUCAUUGCACUGGUUUGGAAUCUCAUCGAUAUACACCAAGCAUUUUAGCAGCUUCGACUAUUCUUAGUUAUGUCAAGCACUAAAAACUCUCGUGAAUCAUAUUCCUUGCUUGUAACACUUUAGUUUUUUUGGUCAUACAUUGUCAUCACUCAUAAGGACCCCCUUGUUUGAUACUAGAGUACACUGAAAUUAUUUUCUCAGCUCUAUUAUUCUUGCUAUAUGUUGGAAUUUUUAUCAUAAGAGUACUAACAUAUGAUAAAUUACAGUAAAGGGGAUUAUGAUCCUUGUCGAUUAGAUUGUCUCAGCUUAUUUGGUUUGAAGUCUAAGACAAACAGACAACAAGGGCUCUGGAAAGCAUAAAAGGAUAAACAAAAAUUAUAUAACUCUGUUUCGGUUUGCUUUGUAACUUGAUUUAUAACUUAUAACUUUGUUUUAUUUUAGAUUUGGAUUUGGAUU
Long non-coding RNA from Arabidopsis lyrata subsp. lyrata, 957 nucleotides. RefSeq lists it as uncharacterized. The transcript is spliced from 2 exons. Lineage: Eukaryota; Viridiplantae; Streptophyta; Magnoliopsida; Brassicales; Brassicaceae. The record is from RefSeq and is a predicted model, not a curated record.